GCUUCCAUCGGCUAUCGGUCAGGCCGCCAGGUUCUCAACCUGGAGAGACAGGUUCGAUUCCUGUUGGAAGCACCA
This 75-nucleotide transfer RNA is filed under the name Acidithiobacillus ferrivorans. RNAcentral describes it as "tRNA-Glu". It matches the Rfam family "tRNA". Rfam says of the family: Transfer RNA (tRNA) molecules are approximately 80 nucleotides in length. Lineage: Bacteria; Pseudomonadati; Pseudomonadota; Acidithiobacillia; Acidithiobacillales; Acidithiobacillaceae. The record is from RNAcentral.